This 253-nucleotide ribosomal RNA is filed under the name uncultured bacterium. Its description in RNAcentral is "partial 16S ribosomal RNA". It matches the Rfam family "Bacterial small subunit ribosomal RNA", at positions 524 to 776 of the family's 1533-position model. The record is from RNAcentral.
UACAGAGGUCCCGAGCGUUGUUCGGAUUUAUUGGGCGUAAAGGGUGCGUAGGUGGCAAAGUAAGUUGGAUGUGAAAUCCUGGGGCUCAACCUCAGAAUUGCAUUCAAUACUGCUUAGCUAGAGAGCUGUAGAGGAGACUGGAAUUUACGGUGUAGCAGUGAAAUGCGUAGAUAUCGUAAGGAACGCCAGUGGCGAAAGCGGAUCUCUGGGCCUUACCUGACGCUGAGGCGCGAAAGCUAGGGGAGCGAACAGG